This 2872-nucleotide ribosomal RNA is filed under the name Clostridioides difficile. RNAcentral describes it as "partial 23S ribosomal RNA". It matches the Rfam family "Bacterial large subunit ribosomal RNA". The record is from RNAcentral. Lineage: Bacteria; Bacillati; Bacillota; Clostridia; Peptostreptococcales; Peptostreptococcaceae.
GGUCAAGUUAUUAAGGGUGCAGGGCGGAUGCCUUGGCACUAGGAGCCGAUGAAGGACGUGAUAAGCUGCGAUAAGCUUCGGGGAGUUGCACGUAAACUUUGAUCCGAAGAUUUCCGAAUGAGGAAACUCACUUAGAGUAAUGUCUAAGUAUCAUUAAGUGAAUACAUAGCUUAAUGAGGGGAACUCAGGGAACUGAAACAUCUAAGUACCUGAAGGAAGAGAAAGAAAUUCGAUUCCGUAAGUAGCGGCGAGCGAACGCGGAUUAGCCCAAACCAAUAAAGUUUUCUUUAUUGGGGUUGCGGACAUAUCAUAACGAAGAGGUAUCGUAAUUGAAGAGGUUUGGAAAGACCCACCACAGAAGGUAAUAGUCCUGUAUGUUAAACGAGAAGACUUUAGAUAUGAUCCAGAGUACCACGGGACACGUGAAACCCUGUGGGAAGCAGGAGGGACCACCCUCCAAGGCUAAAUACUACCUAGUGACCGAUAGCGUAUAGUACCGUGAGGGAAAGGUGAAAAGAACCCCGGGAGGGGAGUGAAAUAGAACCUGAAACCCUGCACUUACAAGCUGUGGAAGCACAUUUCUUGUGUGACCGCGUACUUUUUGUAGAACGGGCCAACGAGUUACGUUAAGUAGCAAGGUUAAGCACUUAAGGUGCGGAGCCGUAGCGAAAGCGAGUUUUAACUGAGCGUUCAGUUACUUGACGUAGACCCGAAACCGGGCGACCUACCCAUGAGCAGGAUGAAGCGAAAGUAAAAUUUCGUGGAGGUCCGAACCCACGAGCGUUGAAAAGCUCGGGGAUGACUUGUGGGUAGCGGUGAAAUUCCAAUCGAGCCCGGAGAUAGCUGGUUCUCCCCGAAAUAGCUUUAGGGCUAGCCUCAAGGUGAGAGAUACGGAGGUAGAGCACUGAAUGUCCUAGGGGGUAUUGCACCUACCGAAGACUAUCAAACUCCGAAUGCCGUCAUCUUAUACUUGGGAGUCAGACUGUGGGUGAUAAGAUUCAUAGUCGAAAGGGCAACAGCCCAGAUCGUCAGCUAAGGUCCCUAAAUGUAAGUUAAGUGGUAAAGGAUGUGGGAUUGCACAGACAACCAGGAUGUUGGCUUAGAAGCAGCCACUCAUUCAAAGAGUGCGUAAUAGCUCACUGGUCGAGUGAUCCUGCGCCGAAGAUUUCCGGGGCUAAAACUUACUACCGAAGCUACGGCAUCAGUAAUGAUGGGUAGGGGAGCUUCCCAUACGGGUUGAAGCAUGACCGUAAGGACAUGUGGACAGUAUGGGAGUGAGAAUGUUGGCAUGAGUAGCGAGAUGUGGGUGAGAAUCCCACAGGCCGUAAACCCAAGGUUUCCAGGGGAAGGUUCGUCCGCCCUGGGUUAGUCGGGACCUAAGCUGAGGCCGAAAGGCGUAGGUGAUGGACAACAGGUUGAUAUUCCUGUACUACCGAUAACCGUUUGAGAGAAGGGAUGACACAGUAGGAUAAGCUAAGCACACUGUUGGUUAUGUGUGCCCAAGCAUUGAGGCAGUCAAAGUAGGCAAAUCCGCUUUGAUAAUGCUGGGAUGUGAUGGGGAGCGAAAUUUAGUAGCGAAGUAGCUGAUUUCACACUGUCAAGAAAAGUCUCUAUCGAGGUUAAAGGUACCCGUACCGCAAACCGACACAGGUGGGUGAGGAGAGUAUCCUAAGGCCAGCGAGAGAACUGUUGUUAAGGAACUCGGCAAAAUGACCCCGUAACUUAGGGAUAAGGGGUGCCACCAUCAGGUGGCCGCAGAGAAUAGGCCCAAGCGACUGUUUACCAAAAACAUAGGUUUCUGCUAAGUCGCAAGACGAUGUAUAGGAGCUGACGCCUGCCCGGUGCUGGAAGGUUAAGGGGAUCUGUUAGAGCAAUCGAAGCAGUGAACUUAAGCCCCAGUAAACGGCGGCCGUAACUAUAACGGUCCUAAGGUAGCGAAAUUCCUUGUCGGGUAAGUUCCGACCCGCACGAAAGGCGUAACGAUUUGGGCACUGUCUCAACAACAGACUCGGUGAAAUUGUAAUUCCGGUGAAGAUGCCGGAUACCUGCGACAGGACGGAAAGACCCCAUGGAGCUUUACUGUAGCUUGACAUUGGGUCUUGGUACUACAUGUACAGGAUAGGUGGGAGGCUUUGAAACCAGGACGCCAGUUUUGGCGGAGCCAUCCUUGGGAUACCACCCUUGUAGUACUGGGACUCUAACCAUAGGCCAUGAAUCUGGUCUUGGGACACUGUCAGGUGGGCAGUUUGACUGGGGCGGUCGCCUCCCAAAAGGUAACGGAGGCGCUCAAAGGUUCUCUCAGUACGGUCGGAAAUCGUACGUAGAGUGUAAAGGCAAAAGAGAGCUUGAUUGCAAGACAUACAGGUCGAGCAAGGAUGAAAAUCGGACUUAGUGAUCCGGUGGUUCUGCGUGGAAGGGCCAUCGCUCAACGGAUAAAAGCUACCCUGGGGAUAACAGGCUUAUCUCCCCCAAGAGUCCACAUCGACGGGGAGGUUUGGCACCUCGAUGUCGGCUCAUCACAUCCUGGGGCUGUAGUAGGUCCCAAGGGUUGGGCUGUUCGCCCAUUAAAGUGGUACGCGAGCUGGGUUCAGAACGUCGUGAGACAGUUCGGUCCCUAUCCGUCGCAGGCGUAGGAAAUUUGAGAAGACCUGUCCUUAGUACGAGAGGACCGGGAUGGACGUACCUCUGGUGUACCAGUUGUCCUGCCAAGGGCAUGGCUGGGUAGCUAUGUACGGAAUGGAUAAGCGCUGAAAGCAUCUAAGCGCGAAGCCAACUUCAAGAUAAGAUUUCCCACCGCAAGGGUAAGACCCCAGAAAGACUAUCUGGUUGAUAGGUCGAAGGUGUAAGUGCAGCAAUGUAUUUAGCUUAUCGA